UGGGGGAAUAUUGCACAAUGGGGGGAAACCCUGAUGCAGCGACGCCGCGUGAGCGAAGAAGUAUUUCGGUAUGUAAAGCUCUAUCAGCAGGGAAGAAAAUGACGGUACCUGACUAAGAAGCUCCGGCUAAAUACGUGCC
This 139-nucleotide ribosomal RNA is filed under the name uncultured bacterium. RNAcentral's name for it is "partial 16S ribosomal RNA". It matches the Rfam family "Bacterial small subunit ribosomal RNA", at positions 354 to 509 of the family's 1533-position model. The record is from RNAcentral.